GCAGGCUGAAAUUCGCCUGCAUGAAGCCGGAAUUGCUAGUAAUGGCAGGUCAGCAUACUGCCGUGAAUACGUUCCCGGGCCUUGUACACACCGCCCGUCACACCAUGAGAGUUGGGGAUACCCAAAGCCCGUGAGCCAACUUUUAAAGAGGCAGCGGUCUAAGGUAGAAUCAAUGAUUGGGGUGAAGUCGUAACAAGGUACC
Molecule: ribosomal RNA, 202 nt
Filed under: uncultured bacterium
Lineage: Bacteria
Description: partial 16S ribosomal RNA
Rfam family: Bacterial small subunit ribosomal RNA
Source: RNAcentral